GACGAACGCUGGCGGCGUGCUUAACACAUGCAAGUCGAACGGUAAGGCCCUUCGGGGUACACGAGUGGCGAACGGGUGAGUAACACGUGGGUGAUCUGCCCUGCACUUCGGGAUAAGCCUGGGAAACUGGGUCCAAUACCGGAUAGGACCACUGCCUGCAUGGGUGGUGGUGGAAAGCUUUUGCGGUGUGGGAUGGGCCCGCGGCCUAUCAGCUUGUUGGUGGGGUGAUGGCCUACCAAGGCGACGACGGGUAGCCGGCCUGAGAGGGUGACCGGCCACAGUGGGACGGAGAUACGGCCCAGACUCCUACGGGAGGCAGCAGUGGGGAAUAUUGCACAAUGGGCGCAAGCCUGAUGCAGCGACGCCGCGUGAGGGAUGACGGCCUUCGGGUUGUAAACCUCUUUCAGCACCGACGAAGCGCAAGUGACGGUAGGUGCAGAAGAAGGACCGGUCAACUACGUGCCAGCAGCCGCCGUAA
Molecule: ribosomal RNA, 478 nt
Filed under: uncultured bacterium
Lineage: Bacteria
Description: partial 16S ribosomal RNA
Rfam family: Bacterial small subunit ribosomal RNA
Source: RNAcentral